AAGAUGGCGACCGGCGCACGGGUGAGUAACACGUAUCCAACCUGCCGAUAACUCGGGGAUAGCCUUUCGAAAGAAAGAUUAAUACCCGAUGGCAUAGUUCUUCCGCAUGGUAGAACUAUUAAAGAAUUUCGGUCAUCGAUGGGGAUGCGUUCCAUUAGGUUGUUGGCGGGGUAACGGCCCACCUAGUCUUCGAUGGAUAGGGGUUCUGAGAGGAAGGUCCCCCACAUUGGAACUGAGACACGGUCCAA
Molecule: ribosomal RNA, 248 nt
Filed under: uncultured bacterium
Lineage: Bacteria
Description: partial 16S ribosomal RNA
Rfam family: Bacterial small subunit ribosomal RNA
Source: RNAcentral